This is a non-coding RNA of Paramuricea clavata, 1723 nucleotides long. NCBI's taxonomy places the organism in Eukaryota, Metazoa, Cnidaria, Anthozoa, Malacalcyonacea, Plexauridae. The record is from the annotation of a GenBank genome assembly.
CGCGUUGACUGCGAAAUUGAUUUGAAUUUUCGACAUGGCGUUCUCAGUUAUAGGCCAAAAUAGUUUCCAACUAUUUUUCGAUGUUAUCAAUUUCCUGCGGAUAAUUCAAUAAAUUAAAUAAAAUAUCCAAAAUCACACUUCAAGUUAAAAGUGACAAAUGCGAUGGGAAGAGAUAUGCUUUUAGAGAAAGCCAUUUUGAUCCCCGUAGCAAAUAAUCCAUGUGGAUCAUUAUUACAUGCACCCUCCGCACACAGUGCACGCACAAACACACUUUUCGCUAAGAUUGUGUGUAAAAAAACGUUGAUUGGUAAAAUAAGGGGAAAAGUUUCAUAUAGUGUGCUUGUCGAGCACUUAGAUGUGUUAAUUGCAAUUUUAGUUGAUUUUUACAAUUAUUACUUUACAGUAUAGAAUUUUUAUUGGAUUGUUUUACAAUAGGAUCCAAAAAAAUCAACUUUGAUUUUCCGACUUCGACAGAUCAUGAAAAAAGGGCAACGGUGUCAGACGGAAUUUUAUCGUUAAAACUGAGUGUCACCCAAAUGCCCCCCACUCCAUUUUAAAAGGACCACUAUAAAGCCAGUGCUUUUUGCAAUUUUGGACAAUUUGUUAUUUUUUAUCUGAAAUUCCGGCUGCAAACUGACAGAGCGGAGACAUUAUUGCUCAAAAAGGAAUAAUUACAAUUAGAAAUAGUUGCUUCAAAGAGUAAUUAAUUCGUGAUUAAAAUGACCUCUUUCAAAGGGGUUAUUAAUUACAGAUUACGUUUUGUAAUGUGGAUCUUCAACGAAAUAUGCAUCUUGCAUCAGAAAUAAUUUUUUUUCAAAAAUCGUUUUUCGUCAAUCAGAAUUCUGCAAUUUGAAAACAUGAGCUUAUAGACAAAAUAGCCAUAACAGACACGAAGUACAUAAAUUACAACGACUCUCGUAUUCCAUUUUUUUUUUCUUAAAAGGAAUUUUUAGUUUUUCUCUACAUACUAACCGAAUUCGUUUCUUUAUCUUGGAAAUUUUUGCUAGGAGCAUUCAUACAUUCAGGGCACAAUUAUAACAAAUGUAACGUGGAAUAUACAAUUGUAAUGAGUGGUGAUAGCUCCGGAAUUUGAGGGCUAAGAUGAACUAACUCAUCUUGACUGGGCAUGCUGAUGCGCAAAAUGUACAUGGCCAGCUGACGUGUAUUUAAUAUUCGUGAGGAAAUCUGCCAAAUGAUUUCUAAGUUUCCUCUCUCUCUUUAUAUGGCCCAAGGAUAUGCAAUGUAUUGUUUUCUCGUCCACGCUAAUAUUGCGAACUAAUUCCAGUUUAAUCUAAUCUACAUUUUUAUAUUAUAGGCCUACAUAGAAUGUUAAAGAGUCAUUGUCAACCACAAUGCAUUUUUUUACAUGUUACCUUCGGAAGUGACAAAUAACAACAAGUGACGAUUAUAAACAUUUCUUUGGUGCAAUUUUAGUACAAAAAAAUUAAAAUGAACAGGUAUAGGCUAACCAUAGGAUGGUAGUAAUGUAUUAUGGAUUGGAAAGCAAAACAUCUAUUACUGCGCAUUUAAAUGACCACCAAGCAGGUUUGGAUGCACAAUGCAUUUUGGGUGACAAUGACACUUUAAUGUAGCUACGGUAUAUUUACACCAGGUACGUCUGUAUGUGUUGGCAAUUGGAUUUUCCUUGGCCUUUGGUGCAUUGUUCAGUAAAACAUGGCGAGUGUACAAGAUAGUCAACGCUCACCGUGCCAUAAAGAAUAAA